UGCCGGAUCGUCUAGUGGUAGGACGUCUGUUUCUGGAACAGAAAACCGGGGUUCGAGUCCCUGUCCGGCAGCCA
This 74-nucleotide transfer RNA is filed under the name Candidatus Colwellbacteria bacterium CG10_big_fil_rev_8_21_14_0_10_42_22. RNAcentral describes it as "tRNA-Gln". It matches the Rfam family "tRNA". From Rfam's summary of the family: Transfer RNA (tRNA) molecules are approximately 80 nucleotides in length. RNAcentral also lists the same sequence under 1 other name. The record is from RNAcentral. Lineage: Bacteria; Candidatus Colwelliibacteriota.